CGUUACUUUACCUCUAUGCAGACUACCUGUUUGUUUGGUGGGUUCACCGAAAGAACAUGAAAAGGAAGUGCGCUGCCAUUCUUCGCCUGUGAAUCGAGCAGAGCGGACAAUUGCCACUCGAUUCUGGUUUAAUGAGUUGUUUUAAUGUUUUUGUUUCGUUAAUCGUCGCCCUAAUCCAAACAGAGGAUCCAGACAGGGCCCACCCAGGUGCAUUUAUCUUCAGGUUAACCCUAGAUCAGUGGAGGGAUUGGGAAGAGAAACUAGAUUGGCAUCUCGCUGUGUGGUCCAGAGUGAGUCUGUGUGCAGCUGCCUAAGGUAACAGCACCUCUGCACGCUUCACUGCCCCCCUCCCAUUCGCCUCCAGCCGCCUGAUCCAACCUGUCAACAGGAAGAGCUAAUCCAUCACGUCUGAGCCAAUGCCGCAACGGUUCACUUCCUCCUCAAGUUUGGAUGCAUUCUUGUGUCUGUUGUGUCUAGUAAAUGACACAGCACUCAACAAAAGUCUGACAACACUAAUCCUCUGACAAAAUAUUUUUUGAACAUUAAACAUAUUUUGAGAUGAUGAAGUCUUUUUUAAACUAAGGUCAGGAUAAUUGCUCUGUUUUGAUAGUGUCUAUAAGACAUAUUUAAUAUGGGAGACCAUGCAGGGCUAGUUUCAACACCUAGCUUUAAAACCCUAAUAAUGUUUGCGAUUUCACUUUUGUUUUUCUUACUUGUUUUCCUGUUUACAUUUUGCUGUUUAAUGGUAGGUUUCAAUGUGUCAACCCUUGUCGCAUGACAAUGGGCCUUUACAAAAGAAGAGUUUUUUUGCAAGAACAGAUAACUUAGUAAACGUUAGUUAACUGGAUAUAUAUUUUUUGAGUUAUUAUUACUUUAUCAAAUUAACCCAACUGCAGUUUGAUUAACAUCACUUGGAAUGCACAGUAAAAAACAUAAUUUUAGAUUUUUUAACGGAUCUGUUUUGCAAACAAUCUCUUCAAAAGCUCAACAAAGUUUUUUUAUAGAAAAAAAAACAUUGAUAACUUUAUUUGUAGUCAAGACUUAUUGCCGGUUUACAUAAAGGGCGAUAAUAGUUCUGAAAAUUAUACAACAACUUUAAAUAUAAUACAAUAUUAACCAACACCACAACUAACAAUAAUGAUAAAGAUAAAGAUGAACAGUUUUGUUGUAUAUACUUUCCAACUAAUGAAUAAUAAAAAUAUUGACAGCCAAACAAUUUCCUUUAGAAUUUUAAAGGCUUGUGCAUUCAGAAUGUGAAACUACAGCGCACAAGCCCACAAUAAAAAUACAGUAACGUUAUAGUCUGAGACUGACCAUUGAGGUGCAUGCUGGCAAACUUUAUUAAAUUAGUUCCCAUGAAUGUUGAGCACAUGUUGCCUGUUUUCCCUAGUAACCCAUACAUUUAAUAGCAUGUGAUGAAUAUUUGUAACAAACAAACAAAUGAGCGAAUGAAUUGGUUAAACACGAAACAGAUGAAACAGCUCUUAAGAUAAUAAGAAAUGUCUGAAGUUUUAACUGGUAGUCCCAUUCCAAAUAUAAUGAUGUUUGGAAAAUGUUUGGAACUAUUGUAUUUAUGGAAGCGCUGUUAUUAACUGCUCAACUUUUAAUGGGCACCGCUAUAAAGUGCACCCUUAUUCCUUUAUAUCCAAUACAUAACAUACAUCAUUAUAUACUCCCACCUCCCAUGAUUUACUGAUGUUUUCUCGAAAGACGUGUAUAACAACACUCCCUACAUUGUUUCCACUGCCGAGGCUCACGUCACAUGAAUCAGGGCAGACUUGGCCCGGCUUCAGCAAAGAGUGCGUCAAUACAUCCGCAACGAUCCAUUUCUCGUGACCCACGGCCAACACCUCGCUUACCACCUGCCUGCUCCAGGUCCACCCAGACUGGUUUUCUGUGCGUCUGGCUCAUGUUUGCUUCUCAUUGUACAUGGGGAAUGCCCUUCCAUGUUUAGCACUUGAGUAUAAUAUUUGCAACUUUGUAUUUUAUGACAGAACUCACCAUUUGAUUCUACAAAAAAAAAUGUAAACUUUAUGACUGUAACUAACGCAUUUUAUUCUCCAUUUACUUUGUUCAAUGAACAGCACCCUCAGAUGUUUCGGUAACACUUUACAUUAAGGUUCCCUAUAUAAAGCAUUUGUAAAUGUGUUCAUUAAUGAUUAAUAAGUCAUUUACAAAUGCAUUAUAAAGCAGUUAUAACUGUGUGAAUAAAAAGAGAUUCUAACAAAAUACCUGCCAAAAGAUGAGCCAUUUUUAACUCACAUGUUAUAAAUGCUUAAUAAAUGUGAAUACUUCACAGGCAUCCAAUUUUCUUUAGAGUGCACUUUCAUGGGAUGUCAAUACUUCUAAAUAUAU
This is an RNA transcript of Triplophysa rosa, 2355 nucleotides long. It is a transcript of the gene named merozoite surface protein CMZ-8-like, with no coding region annotated. The record is from RefSeq and is a predicted model, not a curated record. The transcript is spliced from 3 exons. Lineage: Eukaryota; Metazoa; Chordata; Actinopteri; Cypriniformes; Nemacheilidae.